RNAcentral lists this ribosomal RNA (340 nucleotides) under uncultured soil bacterium. RNAcentral's name for it is "bacterial SSU rRNA". It matches the Rfam family "Bacterial small subunit ribosomal RNA", at positions 26 to 369 of the family's 1533-position model. The record is from RNAcentral.
AGAUCGAACGCUGGCGGCAUGCCUUACACAUGCAAGUCGAACGGCAGCACGGGGGCAACCCUGGUGGCGAGUGGCGAACGGGUGAGUAACAUAUCGGAACGUGCCCUGGAGUGGGGGAUAACUAGUCGAAAGACUAGCUAAUACCGCAUACGAUCUACGGAUGAAAGUGGGGGAUCGCAAGACCUCAUGCUCGUGGAGCGGCCGAUAUCUGAUUAGCUAGUUGGUGGGUAAAGCCUACCAAGGCAUCGAUCAGUAGCUGGUCUGAGAGGACGACCAGCCACACUGGGACUGAGACGACGGCCCAGACUCCGUACGGGAGCAGGCAGGUGGGAAUUUGGAC